Schistosoma mansoni is the source of this 45-nucleotide non-coding RNA. The record is from Rfam. NCBI's taxonomy places the organism in Eukaryota, Metazoa, Platyhelminthes, Trematoda, Strigeidida, Schistosomatidae.
AUCUGGCUGACGAGUCCCAAAUAGGGCGAAACACGCGUCCCGGAU